RNAcentral lists this ribosomal RNA (253 nucleotides) under uncultured bacterium. RNAcentral describes it as "partial 16S ribosomal RNA". It matches the Rfam family "Bacterial small subunit ribosomal RNA", at positions 524 to 776 of the family's 1533-position model. The record is from RNAcentral.
UACGGGGGGGGCUAGCGUUGUUCGGAAUUACUGGGCGUAAAGGGCGCGUAGGCGGUCUGCUAAGUUGGAUGUGAAAACUCUGGGCUUAACCCAGAGCCUGCAUUCAAUACUGACAGGCUAGAGUUCUGGAGGGGAUAGCGGAAUUCCUGGUGUAGCGGUGAAAUGCGUAGAUAUCAGGAGGAACACCGGUGGCGAAGGCGGCUAUCUGGACAGAAACUGACGCUGAGGCGCGGAAGCCAGGGGAGCAAACGGG